This 418-nucleotide long non-coding RNA is filed under the name Nicotiana benthamiana. RNAcentral describes it as "long non-coding RNA (NBEN_LNC041585)". The record is from RNAcentral. Lineage: Eukaryota; Viridiplantae; Streptophyta; Magnoliopsida; Solanales; Solanaceae.
UUCCUGUAAAGGCAUAGCUAAGAAAAGCUCACCUUAGAUUUUCAGAGAUAAAAGAUUUGGAAAACUUCAAACGAUUGAAAAUAUUAAAAGAUCACUGUUUCAUUAAGUUUUGCCUUGAACUUUGAGAUCUCUUUGAAUUUCUGAAAACAGUUUUCUGACCUAUGUAGAUUGAAAUUUUUUUGAUGUUUGCUUUUGGAAAGUUGUGGAUCAAGCGGUGUUGAUAUCACUGUUCUAUUGGAUUUUGAUUCUGCGAGUUCAAUAUCCUGAAUCUGGGGCUGUGUGAUUGCUGGUGUUGAUUUCUGAUUUUACUCCACGGGUAUCUCAUUUUCCCUUUUUUGUUUUACUCUCCAGGUAUACACUUUUGACUUUAGGCAUGUAAAAAUGGCUUGUGAAGUGUUUGUGAUAGAGAUAUCUGAAG